Long non-coding RNA from Diachasmimorpha longicaudata, 1082 nucleotides. RefSeq lists it as uncharacterized. NCBI's taxonomy places the organism in Eukaryota, Metazoa, Arthropoda, Insecta, Hymenoptera, Braconidae. The record is from RefSeq and is a predicted model, not a curated record. The transcript has 3 exons.
UCCUCGGGUCAGUCUGGCGUAAAACGCUGCAUUGAAAAGUCGUGCUAAGUUUUUCUUUUUUGUAUCAUACGCGUUGACCCACCCGGUCUACGAGUACCACUCACGUAAUAAUAAAGGGGACAUUAAUUAAUAGUGAUAACAUGUCCAAUAUUUAUUGACCUUCGUCUAACCGUUGUUCUCCUCUCCUCAUUGAUCAUAGGAGUUGCCUCUGGAGCGUAUUGUCGUCCAAGUUCUGCUCUUUCCUGAUCUCUUCCAGAACACGAGGCAAAUUCUCCUGUCUAUGCUUCAAUAUUUGCAAUUGUGCACAAGUGAGGAGCAUCAUUCCAGCCACAAGAGUAUCAUUGCCAAUGGCAAUUGUGGAUUGGAACCCAUGACCAACAAUAACUUGUUGAAGCAGUCUCAACGAUGCAGAAGAAGAAGAGAAAAUUGAUCCUAGGUUGAUUAAGUGAGUUAAUCCCCAAAACAAAGGCAUUAUGGGAUUGUGGUAAAAUAUUGAAGAGAAAGUAACGGGGUAACAGGGACCGACGACGAUGGCCGAAAAAUGACACAGUUCGUGUUGGAAUAUUAAGUACUUUCAUUGUCCUACAAAAAUCACUCGACACCUCUUUUUGUUUCUCUGGGAGACAGCUCUACUAAGGGACUAAUUUACGAUCGGUUGUACUCCCCUUUCGAGACGGUUUGAGCCUAAACAUAUGCUGAAUGUUUAUUCGAGUCAUAAAAUUGUUUUUCUUUUCCCUGAGAGCGUUUUCCCUUUGAUAUAGUUUUCAGCAGCCCUCGGCUUUGCCAUGGGCCGCCAUCUUCACACUCGUUGCCACCCCGUCGCACUUGUAUCGAAAUAUACUAGUCCCAUGCCACGGUUUUCCAUGGUUUUCCUCGGUUACCAGGAGAGUCUGUACAUGGUGCACAACUCCUGGGGUAAAUGCGACACAGUUGGCGAGGAUGUCGGCCCAUGACACCGGAAAAUACAAUGUAAAAACUCGAGUGGGGUAUACAUGGAAUAAAUAAAUAAAAGUGACGGUGUAACAACGUAAUUCUACUCAUACAAACUAAUCUUGAAUAAUAAUGCACUUCAUUGAAUCGAA